UUGAAAGGGAAACGAUUGAAGUCAGUCGUACCAGCGGGAAAUCAACCUUUCGAGUGGGGUUUUGGAGUUUUGAAGAGUGUCAAAACCUUUGAGAUUUCAAAAUUUUCGCUCCUUUGGUGUACUUUCUCGUGGGUAGGUUAACAUCGAUUUUGAUCAUCAUAAAAAGAUUGGAGGAAUGUAGCUUCGAUCUUGUAUUGAAGUGUUAUAGCCUUUGGUAAAUGUGAUGAUUGGGAUCGAGGAUUGCAACGAAUACCCUUUUGGGCUAUCCGCCUGAUCUCUGAUACGUGGCCUUGGCAUCGAAAGCUUGCUUAUGGUAUCAAGGUAUUACGGUCAAAAGGUUAGAACGGAUUACAUUCGUUAAGGAUGUUGACGUA
Molecule: ribosomal RNA, 374 nt
Filed under: uncultured Glomeromycotina
Lineage: Eukaryota; Fungi; Glomeromycota
Description: LSU rRNA
Source: RNAcentral